This 352-nucleotide unclassified non-coding RNA is filed under the name uncultured Archaeospora. RNAcentral describes it as "sequence contains 28S rRNA gene". Lineage: Eukaryota; Fungi; Glomeromycota; Glomeromycetes; Archaeosporales; Archaeosporaceae. The record is from RNAcentral.
AGUAAAACAGUACGUGAAAUUGUUGAAAGGGAAACGCUUGAAGUCAGUCGUGCCGGCGUUGGAUUCAGCUUGCUUCGCGGAGCAGGCGUAUUUCCGCGCAUGGCAGGUCAGCGUCAGUUUUGCGCGGCGUGAAAAGGCUCGGGUAAGGUAGCUCUCUUCGGGGAGUGUUAUAGACCUGGGCAGAUGCGCUGCGCGGGACUGAGGAUUGCAGCGGACACCCCCUCGGGGGCGCGGCGACCGAACCCUGCUCGGCCACCCUCGUUCGAUAGCGUGCUAGCGGACGCGGGAGCGGCGGUGCACCGGAACAGGCAAGCCAGCGGUUCGCUAAGGAUGCUGACGUAAUGGCUUUAAA